GUGGGAAUAGCUCAGCCGGUCGAGAGUGCGGGCUUGCCAUGUCCGCGACGCGGGUUCGACUCCCGCUUCCCACA
This 74-nucleotide transfer RNA is filed under the name Acidobacteriota bacterium. RNAcentral describes it as "Acidobacteria bacterium tRNA-Gly". It matches the Rfam family "tRNA". Rfam says of the family: Transfer RNA (tRNA) molecules are approximately 80 nucleotides in length. The record is from RNAcentral. Lineage: Bacteria; Pseudomonadati; Acidobacteriota. RNAcentral also lists the same sequence under 1 other name.